CCACUUGCAGCUAAACACAUAUGCACAAAAAUUAUUCAGUAAAAGCAAAACAGUUUUGGUGUAUCUUGAGAUUUUGUUUUAUAUCCAAAGGAAGACUAUAUCUUUCAUCUUUGAACUAGUCUUUGGAAAAUGCCGUCUAUAUAACAAAUGUUAUAGUUUUCUUCUAAUUGGGUCUUGAGGUCUCUCAGGAGAAUGGCUAUAAACUCUACCUCACUCUAAUGGGGCUCUAGGGGAGGGGCCUGUGGGUCUUUAGAGUAGCCUUUCACCAGAAAUUUCUUUUUUCUGGACCACAGCCUAAUGCUCAAGUAUCUGACCCAUGACCAGGUGUCUCACAGGAAACUUGUUUAUACUAGCAGAUGGCCUAGUAACUUUUGUCUGACCUGUGUGCAGUUUAUUCCUACCAUG
RNAcentral lists this long non-coding RNA (405 nucleotides) under Homo sapiens (human). RNAcentral's name for it is "HSALNT0149352". The record is from RNAcentral. Lineage: Eukaryota; Metazoa; Chordata; Mammalia; Primates; Hominidae.